Molecule: non-coding RNA, 1486 nt
Filed under: Pongo abelii (Sumatran orangutan)
Lineage: Eukaryota; Metazoa; Chordata; Mammalia; Primates; Hominidae
Source: RNAcentral
UUUAUACAUUUUCUACAGAAAAUGCACCCCAUCAUUGCCUAUAGCCCACCCACGUGGACUGCCCAUUCUGUGAAUCAUGUUUUACAGAUGAGUUUUGGCUACUGAAAGCUUGGAGUCAAACCUGUAUGCCUCUUCCUUUGUCUGCCAAUAUAUUUUGUAUAUUAGGCCUCGGCCCUGGCUCCAAUUUAGAUUACCAUUUUUUUCCCCUACUUUGUCCCUCUCUUUGACCUUUAACUUACUUCUAUUCUUUGUGUGCAGAACUUUGUAAGCCCUGUUAGAUCCUUGCCUUGCUGCAGCAAUGUACAUAAGCAAUGUAAUAAACAGAAAGGAUGAUAUUCAGUGCCCAUAUUGAAUCAUCCUGUGUGUGUAGAAUCACAAGUGCAUUUCAUUCUAGACACAAGACAUAAUUUUGCAUAUUUCAAAAUGCAGUAAAUGAUUCCUAGAAUGCUAUUUUAGAAGCUUUCCUUAGGAAACAGCACCACGUGGCAUAACUCACCUACCCCAGUAGUGUGAUCUCCCUUUGGUCCUGUGUAGGAAGUGGGAGUUUCUCCCCUCCUCCUGUGCCAGCUACUCCGGUUUCUUUUCUCCUGAGUAAAUGUACAUUCAUCUUGCUCGAAAGUACACUCUCCAGGUGGAGGUGGAAGUUUCUCUGCAAGAAAAUAGCAGAUGUUGCAAUCACUGAGACUCUUUCAAUGACUCUGUGUUGCUAGCAGCCUACUCUGCAUAUAUGAAUGUUGUCUGGCCAUAUGCCAUGCGAUGGAGAGGCAGCCCCCACUGGUGGCCCACCUACACAGAGCCACUGCUUCCAGCUAGAGGCUGCACUCCACUGCGGGUCCUGCCACAGACAUAGAGAACAAUCAGAUAUACAGUUCUAAAAUACUGGGCUAUUUUGAGAAAAAAACUUUCUCUGACUUGUGAAUUUUUGUGAAUUUCUUUUUUUAAAGCUCUGGAAAUUAGAGGUAUAUUGCCUUUAUGAAAAUAUGGAAAAUAAUAAAAUUGCAUAAUGCAGGCACUUUCUUCAGAAAUCCUGGAUGAGUGAAGGGUAUCCUCAUAACAACUCCACAGUUGCUUUGUAGGUAGGGGAGAAUGUGAGAGUGCUAAAUGGACUCCUGGAGGCAUAGCUGUGUGGAACAAAUGACUUCAUUUCUCUGUGCCUUAGAGUUCUUAUCUCUAAUGUGGGAAUAUUGAUGGUAGUCACUUCAUGGGUCCGUGAGGGUUAAAUGAGAUGGUAUAUGUAAAGUGAUAAUUUUUAAUGUGAAGUUCUCAAUAAUUAAAUUUUAGAACUUAUUUUGCCACCCAGAAGUUUAUUUUCCUUUUCCCAAAUCCAAUGUUUAUGUCUUUGAAAGCUAUCUUCAAUAACAUUCAUAAUUAUUAGAAUGGUGCUUCCUCCCAAUUUAUUGGGGACUUCUCCUUUGACUAAACUUGGUUGUACCUCCCUAUAUCCAGAUUCUUAGCCAAAUUUUUCUAAUAAAUAGUUUGUUUCAUA